UAGAUGCGAUCUGAGACAGGGUUCUUGUACAAGACCAGGCAGCCGGUGCAAGGCGAAGUCUUACCAGCGGUCAAUAUCGCAGCUAUAUUUAUUACGAGGCUCACCUCCACAAGUUCCAUCCGGUGACCUCCGCAAAACGGGCUCGCGUGGCCCAGGCGGGCCCCACCCCCAAGCCUCAGCACGUUCUCUGAGGCUGUUAGGCGUUGAGAGGCCUCGAGGCCCAGCAGCCAGGAUGGAAAAGGCAGACGGUGGGAAGAGUCCUUCUGGCAGGGCAGGAGGGAAGGUCACUGGGAUCCAGAAGCCUUCGUCAAAUUCUGAUCUGAGGCAAAUCAAACCUCUCAGCUUCCAGAAGUGAUGGAGACAGGCUCCAGAAGCCUGAGGUGAGAGGUUUAACCCUCUGACAGUCCAGCACCGCCGCCAUCAGGAAGCCAGACGCCACAGCCUCUCAGCCCGGGCAACUGGGUGUGGCUCGCCCUGGACACCGCCCGCCUCUGGGUGUGCUUUACCCUGGGCGCGGCCCCGCCCAAGGUGAAGCUCGCCCCAGACGUAGCCCGCCCCCGGGUGGUCGCCCUGGACGUAGUCCCGCCCCCGGGUUUGGCGUUUCCCGGCCGUAAUCCCGCCCCAGGAUGUGGCUCGCCCUGGACGUGGCCCGCCCCCGGGUGCGGCUUCCGCUGGACCUAGCCCUACCCCUAGGUGUGGCUUGCCCUGGGAGUGGCUCCGCCCCCAGAGCGUGCUGGUCGGAACCUCAGCUUUUAAAUUCCUGCGAUCGCUCGUCUGUCCAAAGAUUUCUGAACUCUGCUGGACGUGCCAAACUCUAUUGAGGUUACCCUUCUAUAAGAGGGGAUUAAGAAAUCUACUGAGAUUGGAGUCCAAGAUGGCGGAAGAGUAAGAGACCUUAGUUUCAUCUGUUCCCCGGAAUUCAGCUAAAUCAUUCUGAACACCUGCGAAAUCAAGAGGAGAUCUAAGAAAAGAAUAGCUGCAACUCUACAAAUAGAAAAGUGACCACUUUCUACCAGUAAGCUGCCAUGCUGGAGAAGCCCACGUGACAAGGAACCAACCAGCCCUAGCCAAGAGCCAACAAGGUUCUGAGGAUCCCAGUCCAACAGGCUUUGAGGAACUGCAUCCUGCCAACAACUGUGUGAAUGGGUACAGGAGUUGGCCCUUCCCGAGUCAAGCCUUCGGAUGAGAAUGUAGCCUCAGCCGACAGCUUAAUUGCAGCCUUGAAGCAGAAAAUCCAGAGCAAAUGUGCUGGAUCACAGCCCACAGGACCAAACUCAUCUUGAUUUAGGAAGUGGGAUCCUCUAGCAUCAUGUCUAAUGAGCACAAUUGUGUCUUACCCUGGAAGGUGGUAGCUGCCUGGUCAACAUUCCUGCCACUAACAGCUAUGUGAUGCUUCUGUUCUGCAUUUGUUCUGCAAAAAACGUCAUCAGUCGGGCAGCCUGAAGAAAUGCCCAGCGAAGGGAAGCACUUCCAGUGGGAAACCUCAAUGUCGAGUUUAGCGUGACUCACAUGACAGAUUCUUAAGCAGCAUCUAUGCGGUUCUUCUACCCUACCCCAACCAGCCCAAGAUCAACUGGGACAACACCCUCCCCCAAACACUCCCAUUCAGAGUUCACCCACCUGUGGGAUCCUCGGAUCACUGACUUCUACAUAAUGAUUAAGCUACUGUGUAGUAACAGUGAAGAAAAAACAGUGGCUUAAUCAUUAUUUUCUGAAAACUAUACCUGUCUUUGAUCCUAGAACACUUGCUCUAAAGGGUAUAAAACAUUCAGUGA
Long non-coding RNA from Zalophus californianus (California sea lion), 1775 nucleotides. RefSeq lists it as uncharacterized. NCBI's taxonomy places the organism in Eukaryota, Metazoa, Chordata, Mammalia, Carnivora, Otariidae. The transcript has 5 exons. The record is from RefSeq and is a predicted model, not a curated record.